AUUGAACGCUGGCGGCAUGCCUUACACAUGCAAGUCGAACGGCAGCACGGGAGCAAUCCUGGUGGCGAGUGGCGAACGGGUGAGUAAUACAUCGGAACGUGCCCAAUCGUGGGGGAUAACGCAGCGAAAGCUGUGCUAAUACCGCAUAAGAUCUAUGGAUGAAAGCAGGGGACCGCAAGGCCUUGCGCGAAUGGAGCGGCCGAUGGCAGAUUAGGUAGUUGGUGAGGUAAAGGCUCACCAAGCCUUCGAUCUGUAGCUGGUCUGAGAGGACGACCAGCCACACUGGGACUGAGACACGGCCCAGACUCCUACGGGAGGCAGCAGUGGGGAAUUUUGGACAAUGGGCGCAAGCCUGAUCCAGCCAUGCCGCGUGCAGGAUGAAGGCC
RNAcentral lists this ribosomal RNA (386 nucleotides) under uncultured bacterium. Its description in RNAcentral is "bacterial SSU rRNA". It matches the Rfam family "Bacterial small subunit ribosomal RNA", at positions 29 to 416 of the family's 1533-position model. The record is from RNAcentral.